Molecule: ribosomal RNA, 175 nt
Filed under: Chloropicon mariensis
Lineage: Eukaryota; Viridiplantae; Chlorophyta; Chloropicophyceae; Chloropicales; Chloropicaceae
Description: partial Bacterial large subunit ribosomal RNA
Rfam family: Bacterial large subunit ribosomal RNA
Source: RNAcentral
GAGCCGAAGCCAGUCGAAGAUACCAGCUGGCUGCAACUGUUUAUUAAAAACACAGCACUGUGCAAACACGAAAGUGGACGUAUACGGUGUGACGCCUGCCCGGUGCCGGAAGGUUAAUUGAUGGGGUUAGCGCUUGCGCGAAGCUCUUGAUCGAAGCCCCGGUAAACGGCGGCCG